CAGGCUGCAGGAGAGGAGGCAGCAUGGCUACUCCCCUCCCCUUUCCCCAGGGAAAAGCAGCGGCAGAGGCAGGGUUGCUUCUUGGGAGGGGGCCGUGGGCCUCCGGGCAUAAUGCCUGGGUCUCAAUGUCGCUGUGCAGGGAUGGCUUGGCCAGCACACUUGCACACACGCAUGCACGCCGACCCAAGCGGGCACUCGCUGUGGGCCGUGGGCAUGGCGCUGGGGUUUUUGCCAAGAGCAGAAUGUGUGGGCAGCAGCGCAGCAGCUACUGAGCUGGCAGAGCGAGGACUCCCAGCGGCGGAGGGUAAAAUAUCUCAACAGUCGCAAGCUUUUCAUCAUCAGAAUAACAAAGUCCAAAAAAAAAAAAAAAAAAAAAAAAAACCAAUCUGGCCUUACCAAGGAAGUUGCUCGUCAGAUCGUGAAACAAUAUGGGGUGUGCCCACAAAGUUCCUCUGUUCCUCACUUUGAAGUAAACCCUGGAGACCGCCUUCCUAACCAUUUAUGGAGAAUGGAUGUUGCUCCUAUUAUGGAAUUUGGUAAAUUAAAAUAUGUGCAUAUGACAAUAGAGACUUACUCAGGAUGUUUGACGGCCAGUUGCCAAGAUGGAGAAGCCACUACUCCUGUAAUUGCAAACUGCCUGAAAUAUCUCUCCAAUACAGGGAUACCAAAAGCCAUUAAAUCUGAUAAUAUAUCUGGAUAUAUCAAUAAAGCAUUUCAGCAAUUUUGUUCCCAAUAAAAAAUUGAGCAUAGAACAGGCAUUCCUUAUAAUCCUCAAGGACAAGGCAUCGUUGAGCAAGCCCAUGGCGGUCUCAAGAUGCAGCUUCAAAAAAUUAAGAGGGGAGAGCUGUACCCUCAAUCACUGCAUAGUACAUUGAAUCAUACCCUCUUCAUUUUGAAUUUUUUGAAUGUGGAUGCCCAUGAACAAUCUGCCAUGGACAGAUUUUGGCAUGAUGGCACCUGAACAACUUUUGCUUAGGUGAAAUGGACUGAUCCUUGCUCUGGAUUAUGGAAAGGACUCUGUUUUAAUCUGGGGUCGAGGGCAUGUUUGUGUUUUUUCACAGGAAGAAAAUGAAGCUUGAUGGGUGCCUGAGCACUUGGUGCAGUGCAUAGAACAGAGGAAUGUCAGCUCUGAUGAUACCGUAGCUGCUGACACUCCCCUAGAAGAAUUAGAGUGAGACUUGCUGAACCUGUGUUCCUGAUCAUCCAGUGUUACAUCCUGCAGUCUGGGGAGGGAAGGAAUGAUUCCUGGCUUCUUGAUAGACCUGCUGUACAAAUUUCCUAGACCUCUGUAAGUUCCAAUCAUUCUAAAUCUGGCCAAGGAAUGCCUAUCUGUUUGUGACUGGAAGCUUGGCCGUUUGUCCACAUUACAUCUUGGGAUUCGGAGGUCAUCUUUGCCAAUAUAAUGUUUAUCUGCUGAUUGCCCGAGGGAACAGAAGGCCUGGAGAACAGUUGCCUCAGUUUUCCUUCUGUGGGAAAGAGACUCACUGGAGCAAUCGAACACUGUUACAGAGGCAGUAUGCUAGAUGGUUGAGGAAUCAAAUUGGAGGUACUGAAAAGGCCUCCCAGACUGAUGAGGAGAAAUUGGGACAAAAGUAUUGCUGCUAUUUGAUGCUCUGGGACUGGACAGCUCAAACAUAUGUUUGGAAGUUGGUGGCAGUGAUGCACUGGACUUUAGGAGAGGAAAAAGAAAAGAUUAAAAAAUUGUGGGGUUACUGAUACCUCACCCACAACAAAAACAUUUUCUUGUCCCUAAUUUGGAUCAUAGUUGUUAAGAAUUGUAAUUUAACCAAUUAUGUGUCCAUUGCUAAAUUCAUAUUAAAAUUAGGAUGAUAACCUGUGUAAUAUUAAGAUAUUGUAAAAAUAGAGCACAAGCUGAAUGCUUUAUUUGAAGUAGUACAAUUGUUAAAGAUAAGAGCUCAUUUGAAAUGUCAGUCUAAAUUUAACUAGAUAUGUGUAACCUCUUCUGUUUACAAGGAAAGUAUUACUGGAUGGAAAAAGGUGAGAGCUCAUCUGAGAGGAAUUUGGUAUGAUGCUAAAGGGGUCUUUAGAUUUGAUGCAGUUGCAUCAGGAGUUUAAUGAUUUAAAAAAGGCGCAGUUGGAUUUUGAGGCAGCUAAAAUUGAUGUGGACAUCCUGGACCAUUUAAAAAGGCCAUUCUGUCUUGAUCAUCCUUUAUUCCUUUACUAGGAGGUAUAUCGAUCAUAGGAGAAGGUGUAUUGCUAUGAUUACUCAAACUACUUGCAAGUUCUUAAUGGAAAUCUGAUACAGAGCUGUAUAAAGUUAAGCUCUGCACCCUCCCUUGCCAGAGGCUGGUAGUCAGAGAUGGGUAAGUCCUUCUUGCUGGCUGUCAACCUAUGACAGAGUAUACUUGGAGAAAAAUAUAUCUCGAAGAUGGGUAAGACUUGUCUAAUGGAAGAAAGUGACCUAAGACAGACACAGUUAUCUGUGGGUCUGAGGAACACUUUAUAAAAUUAUAAAGAAGGAGGAAUUGUGGGGGCCCACAGAGACCCCAGCUUGUGGCUUGUUUUCAUCUUGACUCAAGUUCAGAGAGUCCGAGCUUGUUUCCCUUCUGUGAGGCUACAUAAUAGGAUGUUUUGGUCAACGGUGUGGUUACCAGAUGUCUUUUACUUCAAGGCCUAUUUACAGGAUGCUUUGCUGUAAGGCAUGGUCACCAAAUGUCUUGAGUACUAAGGAGAUGUUUACACUUAACUGUACGUUGUACUUUGAACCAUGAUGUCCUUGAAAGGGGAAGGUCUUUUUGCCCCUCUUUGCUUUGGGGUAUAUAAAGGCUGUGAGCAAUAAAAUCAAUGUCUGCGGUAUUGACCCAGAACCUCCUGAA
This is a non-coding RNA of Peromyscus maniculatus bairdii (prairie deer mouse), 2837 nucleotides long. Lineage: Eukaryota; Metazoa; Chordata; Mammalia; Rodentia; Cricetidae. The record is from RefSeq and is a predicted model, not a curated record.